RNAcentral lists this ribosomal RNA (369 nucleotides) under uncultured Anoxybacillus sp. RNAcentral describes it as "bacterial SSU rRNA". It matches the Rfam family "Bacterial small subunit ribosomal RNA", at positions 1011 to 1382 of the family's 1533-position model. Lineage: Bacteria; Bacillati; Bacillota; Bacilli; Caryophanales; Anoxybacillaceae. The record is from RNAcentral.
CGUUCCCCUUCGGGGGACAGGGUGACAGGUGGUGCAUGGUGUCGUCAGCUCGUGUCGUGAGAUGUUGGGUUAAGUCCCGCAACGAGCGCAACCCUCGACCUUAGUUGCCAGCAUUCAGUUGGGCACUCUAAGGUGACUGCCGGCUAAAAGUCGGAGGAAGUGGGGAUGACGUCAAAUCAUCAUGCCCCUUAUGACCUGGGCUACACACGUGCUACAAUGGGCGGUACAAAGGGUCGCGAACCCGCGAGGGGGAGCCAAUCCCAAAAAGCCGCUCUCAGUUCGGAUUGCAGGCUGCAACUCGCCUGCAUGAAGCCGGAAUCGCUAGUAAUCGCGGAUCAGCAUGCCGCGGUGAAUACGUUCCCGGGCCUU